RNAcentral lists this ribosomal RNA (252 nucleotides) under uncultured bacterium. RNAcentral's name for it is "partial 16S ribosomal RNA". It matches the Rfam family "Bacterial small subunit ribosomal RNA", at positions 524 to 776 of the family's 1533-position model. The record is from RNAcentral.
UACGUAGGUGGCAAGCGUUGUCCGGAAUUAUUGGGCGUAAAGCGCGCGCAGGCGGCCUCUUAAGUCUGAUGUGAAAGCCCCCGGCUCAACCGGGGAGGGCCAUUGGAAACUGGGAGGCUUGAGUAUAGGAGAGAAGAGUGGAAUUCCACGUGUAGCGGUGAAAUGCGUGAGAGAUGUGGAGGAACACCAGUGGCGAAGGCGACUCUUUGGCCUAUAACUGACGCUGAGGCGCGAAGCGUGGGAGCAAACAGG